AGUAAUGUCUGGGGAUCUGCCUGAUGGAGGGGGAUAACUACUGGAAACGGUAGCUAAUACCGCAUAAGGUCGCAAGACCAAAGUGGGGGACCUUCGGGCCUCACGCCAUCGGAUGAACCCAGAUGGGAUUAGCUAGUAGGUGGGGUAACGGCUCACCUAGGCGACGAUCCCUAGCUGGUCUGAGAGGAUGACCAGCCACACUGGAACUGAGACACGGUCCAGACUCCUACGGGAGGCAGCAGUGGGGAAUAUUGCACAAUGGGGGAAACCCUGAUGCAGCCAUGCCGCGUGUGUGAAGAAGGCCUUCGGGUUGUAAAGCACUUUCAGCGGGGAGGAAGGCGAUAGGGUUAAUAACCCUGUCGAUUGACGUUACCCGCAGAAGAAGCACCGGCUAACUCCGUGCCAGCAGCCGCGGUAAUACGGAGGGUGCAAGCGUUAAUCGGAAUGACUGGGCGUAAAGCGCACGCAGGCGGUCUGUUAAGUUGGAUGUGAAAUCCCCGGGCUUAACCUGGGAACUGCAUUCAAAACUGACAGGCUAGAGUCUCGUAGAGGGGGGUAGAAUUC
RNAcentral lists this ribosomal RNA (564 nucleotides) under uncultured bacterium. RNAcentral describes it as "bacterial SSU rRNA". It matches the Rfam family "Bacterial small subunit ribosomal RNA", at positions 109 to 669 of the family's 1533-position model. The record is from RNAcentral.